AUCGAACGCUGGCGGCAUGCUUUACACAUGCAAGUCGAACGGCAGCGCGGGCUUCGGCCUGGCGGCGAGUGGCGAACGGGUGAGUAAUACAUCUGAACGUGCUCAGCAGUGGGGGAUAGCUCGUCGAAAGCCGGAUUAAUACCGCAUACGACCUGAGGGUGAUAGCGGGGGAGCUUCGGACCUCUUGCUCUUGGAGCGGCCGAUGGCAGGUUAGCUAGUUGGUGGGGUAAAGGCCUACCAAGCCGACGAUCUGUAGCUGGCCUGAGAGGACGACCAGCCACACUGGGACUGAGACACGGCCCAGACGCCUGCGGGAGGCAGCAGUGGGGAAUUUUGGACAAUGGGCGAAAGCCUGAUCCAGCAAUGCCGCGUGUGUGAUGAAGGCGUUCGGGUUGUAAAGCACUUUUGGCGGGAACGAAAAGGACUGUGCUAAUACCACGGUUCGAUGACGGUACCCGCAGAAUAAGCACCGGCUAACUACGUG
This 484-nucleotide ribosomal RNA is filed under the name uncultured bacterium. Its description in RNAcentral is "partial 16S ribosomal RNA". It matches the Rfam family "Bacterial small subunit ribosomal RNA", at positions 29 to 507 of the family's 1533-position model. The record is from RNAcentral.